Molecule: ribosomal RNA, 491 nt
Filed under: uncultured bacterium
Lineage: Bacteria
Description: partial 16S ribosomal RNA
Rfam family: Bacterial small subunit ribosomal RNA
Source: RNAcentral
AGUGAACGCUGGCGGUAGGCCUAACACAUGCGAGUCGAACGGCAGCACAGUAAGAGCUUGCUCUUACGGGUGGCGAGUGGCGGACGGGUGAGGAAUACAUCGGAAUCUACUUUUUCGUGGGGGAUAACGUAGGGAAACUUACGCUAAUACCGCAUACGACAUACGGGUGAAAGCAGGGGAUCUUCGGACCUUGCGCGAUUGAAUGAGCCGAUGUCGGAUUAGCUAGUUGGCGGGGUAAAGGCCCACCAAGGCGACGAUCCGUAGCUGGUCUGAGAGGAUGAUCGGCCACACGGGAACUGGGAAACGGCCCAGACUCCUACGGGGGGCAGCAGUGGGGAAUAUUGGACAAGGGGCGCAAGCCUGAUCCAGCCAUACCGCGUGAGUGAAGAAGGCCUUCGGGUUGUAAAGCCCUUUUGUUGGGAAAGAAAAGCAGCAGGUUAAUACCCCGCUGUUCUGACGGUACCCAAAGAAUAAGCACCGGCUAACUUCGU